CAAAAACAUAGCUAAAUGCAAUUUAUGUUUAGUUUCCCCUGCUCAAUGGUUAACUAAAUAGCCGCAGUACCCUGACUGUGCAAAGGUAGCAUAAUCAUUUGGCUUAUAAUUGAAGUCUGGCAUGAAAGGGUCAAUGGGUAAUUACUGUCUUUUAGAGUACUUAAGAAAUUACUAAGUAGGUGAAAAUUCCUACUGAUAAAAAAUAGACGAGAAGACCCUAGAAAUUUUAUUUAAGGUAAUUAGUUGUUAUUAACAUUUUGUUGGGGCGACAAAAUAACAUUUAACUUAUUUUAUUUAAUUUGAACUAUGUGCUGAGGUAAAUUAAAUUACUCUAGGGAUAACAGCAUAAUUUAUUAGAGUUUGUGACCUCGAUGUUGGACUAGGGUAUAUAGUGUUUAGAAGAUAUUAUAGUUAGCUCUGUUCGAGCCCAGUUCCCUACGUGAUCU
RNAcentral lists this ribosomal RNA (446 nucleotides) under Xerocrassa subrogata. RNAcentral's name for it is "partial 16S ribosomal RNA". It matches the Rfam family "Bacterial large subunit ribosomal RNA", at positions 1808 to 2606 of the family's 2925-position model. The record is from RNAcentral. Lineage: Eukaryota; Metazoa; Mollusca; Gastropoda; Stylommatophora; Geomitridae.